GCGGCAAAAGCUCAAAUUUGAAAUCUGGCUCCUUUAGGGGUCCGAGUUGUAAUUUGCAGAGGAUGCUUCGGGAGCGGCCACGGCUUAAGUGCCUUGGAACAGGACGUCAUAGAGGGUGAGAAUCCCGUCUUGAGUCGUUGGUCCGCGCCCAUGUGAAGCUCCUUCGACGAGUCGAGUUGUUUGGGAAUGCAGCUCUAAGCGGGUGGUAAAUUUCAUCUAAAGCUAAAUAUUGGCCGGAGACCGAUAGCGCACAAGUAGAGUGAUCGAAAGGUUAAAAGCACCUUGAAAAGGGAGUUAAACAGCACGUGAAAUUGUUGAAAGGGAAGCGCUUGCGGCCAGACUCGGGUACAGGGUUCAGCGGGUGCGUGUCACCCGUGUACUCCCUGUUUCCCGGGCCAGCAUCAGUUCUGACGGCCGGUCAAAGGCCUCUGGAAUGUGUCGUCUUUCGGGACGUCUUAUAGCCAGAGGUGCAAUGCGGCCUGUUGGGA
This 488-nucleotide ribosomal RNA is filed under the name Arthroderma sp. SSR-2012a. Its description in RNAcentral is "eukaryotic LSU rRNA". It matches the Rfam family "Eukaryotic large subunit ribosomal RNA", at positions 98 to 588 of the family's 3401-position model. The record is from RNAcentral. Lineage: Eukaryota; Fungi; Ascomycota; Eurotiomycetes; Onygenales; Arthrodermataceae.